CCUACGGGUGGCAGCAGUGAGGAAUAUUGGUCAAUGGGCGUAAGCCUGAACCAGCCAAGUCGCGUGAGGGAUGAAGGUUCUAUGGAUCGUAAACCUCUUUUAUAAGGGAAUAAAGUGUGGGACGUGUCCUAUUUUGUAUGUACCUUAUGAAUAAGGAUCGGCUAACUCCGGUCCAGCAGCCGCGGUAAUACGGAGGAUCCGAGCGUUAUCCGGAUUUAUUGGGUUUAACGGGUGCGUAGGCGGCCUUUUAAGUCAGCGGUGAAAGUCUGUGGCUCAACCAUAGAAUUGCAGGUGAAAAUGGGGGGCUUGAGUAUGUUUGAGGCAGGCGGAAGGCGUGGUGUAGCGGUGAAAUGCUUAGAUAUCACGCAGAACCCCGAUUGCGAAGGCAGCCUGCCAAGCCAUGACUGACGCUGAUGCACGAAAGCGUGGGGAUCAAACAGGAUUAGAUACCCCUGUAGUC
Molecule: ribosomal RNA, 460 nt
Filed under: uncultured bacterium
Lineage: Bacteria
Description: partial 16S ribosomal RNA
Rfam family: Bacterial small subunit ribosomal RNA
Source: RNAcentral